GGGAAGGGGACUGCGACUCUGCAUUUCUAAUAAAGUGCCCAGGGGGGACAUGUAGAUCCAGUCUCCCUUAAGAGACCAAAGAGGAAAAAAUGUAUCAAUACACAGUUACUAAGAGCUAGUUUACCGACUCUUGAUAUUCAAGAAUUCACUAAUUCGUUCGAAAAGGUCUGUUAUAUUUCCCAGAAUGGUUCCCAGCGCUGGAGAUAAUUCCUUUUCGGAGAACCUACAUUUCUCACCUGCUGAUUGCAAUUAGCCACUGCCAGCUGGGGCCUGGUAUGCAGCUGAAACGCUAACAAGAAGUGGAGACCACGCGGAACCCAGACAGGGCAG
Molecule: long non-coding RNA, 330 nt
Filed under: Bos indicus x Bos taurus (hybrid cattle)
Lineage: Eukaryota; Metazoa; Chordata; Mammalia; Artiodactyla; Bovidae
Description: lncRNA (ENSBIXG00005017796.1)
Source: RNAcentral